AUGAGUGUCUUGAGCUGGAACUGCCGGGGGCUUGGGAACCUCGAGGCAGUUCGGAAGCUUCGCAGCAUUGUGAAGCAAGAAGGACCCACUCUACUCUUUGUAAUGGAAACAAAAAUCAGAGCGAAACGAGUAGAGGAUUUAGAGCACUCUCUAGGCUUUGGAGGAUGCUUUGCUGUGGACAGUGCUGGCCUUAGUGGCGCUAUUGGUCUAUUUUGGUCUCGGGAUGUUAUUGUGGAGUUGAAAAACUUUAGU
RNAcentral lists this ribosomal RNA (252 nucleotides) under Triticum aestivum (bread wheat). RNAcentral's name for it is "partial small subunit ribosomal RNA". The record is from RNAcentral. Lineage: Eukaryota; Viridiplantae; Streptophyta; Magnoliopsida; Poales; Poaceae.